GAAAACAAAUGAUCAGUUGAGAAGUUCAAGGCUCAGGCGCGAUGGGGCAGCCCUCUAUGAAUACAGGGGUCCUCGGAGCAGAUUGGCUAACAAAAGCAGGCUCUAAAAUGUCGGGAGAGGUGUAUCUCCUGUGGCUUCUCUCGCUUUUACAAACGCUGUCGGCGUAUGGUGCCGAUCUGUCGUCGGAGGCAUGCAGGGAGCUGGGCUUCUCCAGCAACCUGCUGUGCAGCUCCUGUGACCUGCUCGGGGAGUUCAGCCUCAACAAGCUCCAGCCUGACUGCGGGCAGUGCUGCCAGCAGGAGGCCCAGAUGGAAGCGCGCAAGCUCUACGCCGGGGCCAUCCUUGAGGUGUGUGGAUGAAAACUGGGGAGGUUCCCUCAAGUCCAAGCUUUUGUCAGGAGUGACAAGCCGAAGAUGUUCAAGGGUCUUCAGAUCAAGUACGUGAGAGGCUCCGAUCCUGUACUAAAGCUUUUGGACGAUAACGGGAACAUCGCUGAAGAACUCAGCAUCCUCAAGUGGAACACAGACAGCGUGGAGGAGUUCCUGAGUGAGAAAUUAGACCGAAUAUAGACAUGUGUAUGUUUUUGUUUUUGUAGUCUAAAGUUAAUUGGCCGAGUCACCCAAAUUAAAAUAGCUCUGGUGGUAUGUAGCCAUGCAGAUAUUUUCUGUUUCCUGUGCUUGAGAUUUCUGCUUCCACCUUCAUUUUUAAUCGGAAAGUCUUUGUAGUAAACAUCGACAGUAUUUCUGGAAAGAUUUGCAGCUGUACAUCUGAGCGCAACAACCAAUCGCGGCACAAAUCCUUUUGACAUCUCAAGACGGAUCUUUUCAGACUUGAGCUAAACUAUCUGCUUGGCUAGAGCUUGCUAGGGGCUACUGAGAAUUUGGGUGAGCCGACCCCGUUAGUUAUUUACCAAUUUGUACACAACUCGGCCUUGAGAGACGGUUGUGAAACCAUAUGACCGUUUUUGUAUCUGGAAAUAAUGAAUUUUACCAAAUAACUUCUGUGAGUGUGAGAAGACAUCGUCACAAAGCCCAGAAGGGCGGGACAUCGGAAGGAACCACCAACAUUACUGAUUAGGUUUGAAAAACAAUAAUGCACAUCAUUAGCCGAUUUGUCAACCUUUGGGAGUUUACAUCCCCCCCCCCCCCCCCCCCCCCCCCCCCCCUCCCCUGUCUGUCUAUUUCUGUAUGAUUAUUUUUUUAUACAACACUCAACAUUGUAUAUGAAGGGAUUUGUA
This is an RNA transcript of Etheostoma cragini (Arkansas darter), 1237 nucleotides long. It is a transcript of the gene named selenoprotein F, with no coding region annotated. The record is from RefSeq and is a predicted model, not a curated record. Lineage: Eukaryota; Metazoa; Chordata; Actinopteri; Perciformes; Percidae. The transcript is spliced from 6 exons.